UAGGAGUUCAAGGUGUGAGAAAUGUUCAGAAGGGCAUGAGACAAAGGAAUGUGUACUAUUGGGGAACGUGUUAAUUGUAGGGGUACCCAUGGAGCUGGGGAUCAGAAAUGUCCCGAGCGAGAGAGGCAGGUUGAGGUUUCUAGGUUAGAGUAGAGCCAUACCAGUCCAGAGUAAGAUUGGAUUUUUAACAUUUAUAAAAAUGGUUACCAAUUGUACUGCAGGGAUGGAUCGGAAGUCACGUAAAAUUGAGUUUGUGGUGGCAGCUGCAGAGAGGCAUUUGGGUGUGCGACACUUGACAUCAGAAGAGUUACAAGAUGUGUUAGGUGGCGAUGUCCCAUUAUUUCAGGAUAAUGGCAUGAGGUAGAAAUAAAUGCAUUUAAUUAGUGGAGUAGGGUAGUGUUCAUUUUUAUUUUAUAUAAUUUUGAAUUAGUGAGUAGUGUUAGAUGGUAGGGUAUUUAUUUAGAACCUUUUUAUUUUUCAAGCAAAGAAUAAAGGGUGUUGUACUACAGUCUAGUAGGUGGCGGUAAUGCAACAAAUUGGAUGCAAACCGAUGUUAAACCCCAGAAGAAGAAGAAAUUGUGCCUUUGCACACGUUCUGAACGUCUGUGUAGUAACAGGUACAUUUCAUGUGUCUGAAAGUAGCACAUUGAGUUUGACUUCCGGCAUGUUGCGAUGAAUCGCUUUCCCAGGAAUCUCCAAAUACUAUGUUGAAUGAGCACCGCGGAUGAAAGAGGGGGAGGAAAAUAGACAACUUCCUUCUACCACACCUUCACCAAGUCAUACAAUGUUUGCUUCAUAAACAAUUGUUACAUCAGAAAUAAAUACAAAAUUAUUUUAGU
Molecule: non-coding RNA, 839 nt
Organism: Oncorhynchus mykiss (rainbow trout)
Lineage: Eukaryota; Metazoa; Chordata; Actinopteri; Salmoniformes; Salmonidae
Source: RefSeq, a predicted model, not a curated record